Molecule: ribosomal RNA, 497 nt
Filed under: uncultured bacterium
Lineage: Bacteria
Description: partial 16S ribosomal RNA
Rfam family: Bacterial small subunit ribosomal RNA
Source: RNAcentral
GAUGAACGCUGGCGGCGUGCCUAAUACAUGCAAGUCGAGCGAACAGACGAGGAGCUUGCUCCUCUGACGUUAGCGGCGGACGGGUGAGUAACACGUGGAUAACCUACCUAUAAUACUGGGAUAACUUCGGGAAACCGGAGCUAAUACCGGAUAAUAUAUUGAACCGCAUGGUUCAAUAGUGAAAGACGGUUUUGCUGUCACUUAUAGAUGGAUCCGCGCCGCAUUAGCUAGUUGGUAAGGUAACGGCUUACCAAGGCAACCAUGCGUAGCCGACCUGAGGGGGUGAUCGGCCACACUAGAGCUGGGACACGGUCAAGACUCCUACGGGAGGCAGCAGUAGGGAAUCUUCCGCAAUGGGCGAAAGCCUGACGGAGCAACGCCGCGUGAGUGAUGAAGGUCUUCGGAUCGUAAAACUCUGUUAUUAGGGAAGAACAAAUGUGUAAGUAACUAUGCACGGCUUGACGGUACCUAAUCAGAAAGCCACGGCUAACUACGUG